GUUCGGUCCCUAUCCGGCGUGGGCGCAGGAUAUUUGAGAGGAGCUGACCUUAGUACGAGAGGACCGGGUUGGACGAACCACUGGUGUAUCGGUUGUACUACCAAGUGCAUAGCCGAGUAGCCAAGUUUGGACGGGAUAAACGCUGAAGGCAUCUAAGCGUGAAGCCCCCCUCAAGAUAAGAUAUCCCAUUGCAUUAAGCAAGUAAGACCCCUUGAAGACGACAAGGUAGAUAGGACAGAGGUGGAAGUGCAGUAAUGUAUGGAGCUGACUGUUACUAAUAGGUCGAGGGCUUGACCUAAA
Molecule: ribosomal RNA, 300 nt
Filed under: Clostridiales bacterium
Lineage: Bacteria; Bacillati; Bacillota; Clostridia; Eubacteriales
Description: partial 23S ribosomal RNA
Rfam family: Bacterial large subunit ribosomal RNA
Source: RNAcentral